CAUUAAAGAAUACAUGGCCUUCGGGUCCUAUUCUCACCCUUUGUUUACCAAAACUCUUGUUGCCUUGGCGCAUUCGUGCGCCAAAGGAAUCAAACCCUUGAAUCUCUGCUGUCUGAGUACUAUAUAAUAGUUAAAACUUUCAACAACGGAUCUCUUGGUUCUGGCAUCGAUGAAGAACGCAGCGAAAUGCGAUAAGUAAUGUGAAUUGCAGAAUUCAGUGAAUCAUCGAAUCUUUGAACGCACAUUGCGCCUCCUGGUAUUCCGGGAGGCAUGCCUGUUCGAGCGUCAUUACAACCCUCAAGCUCUGCUUGGUAUUGGGCUCGCCUCCUUUGGCCAUGCCUCAAAAUCAGUGGCGGCACAGUCCGAUCCUCAAGCGCAGUAAUACACGACGCUUCRGUGGUGACAGUGUGACUGCUCCAGAAACCCCCCACAAAUUAAAGGUUGAC
Molecule: ribosomal RNA, 446 nt
Filed under: Lophodermium nitens
Lineage: Eukaryota; Fungi; Ascomycota; Leotiomycetes; Rhytismatales; Rhytismataceae
Description: eukaryotic LSU rRNA
Rfam family: 5.8S ribosomal RNA (bases 135-288)
Source: RNAcentral